UUCCCUUGGAACAUCGUUGGUUUGCAUUCACUUCAUGUGCGCGGACACCAGGCGACUGCACAAGCUGGGAAAGUGAGCUCAAUGUUAUCGGCGGCGUGAUACUUUACUGCUCCGUGCCGCAGUGCGCUACGUACGCGAAGGAACAGGGCGUGAGCUUUCAUUUUAACCCCAAGGAUAAGAAACUGCGCGACGCAUGGCUGAUAAAGCUUCGAAUGGGUAAAGAACCAAGCUCAUAUGCGCGUGUUUAUAGCAAGCACUUGCGAGAAGAAGUCUUCGUGUACGGACUCGGAGCGCAAAUGUUCGAGCCGCUCUUGAAGAUCGUCCACGUGUCUGCUGUAGUAACUGAGACGUUUCGGGAGACAGCUGGACAAAAGAAAAGAAGAGAACAGUCUGAAAGCGUCGACGGUCACGGUGACGGAAGGACGCGGAACGAGAGCAGAAUGAGAAUCUGAGGACAAAGACGUUGUUCGUAUGGAGGGCAAGGCUGCUGCCUAUAACGAGGGAGGUGGGACGCACGGGGGAGCCGGAUGCCCUGAUAUUCCUAAGGAGCUUCUGCGCUACGGACACUACCAGGUGCCUCAGGUA
Long non-coding RNA from Dermacentor silvarum, 585 nucleotides. RefSeq lists it as uncharacterized. The transcript has 3 exons. NCBI's taxonomy places the organism in Eukaryota, Metazoa, Arthropoda, Arachnida, Ixodida, Ixodidae. The record is from RefSeq and is a predicted model, not a curated record.